CUUUAACACUGUGAGUUGUGGUUUGCUUAUCGUUAGGGAUAGCUGGUGUAGGAGA
RNAcentral lists this transfer RNA (55 nucleotides) under Pomphorhynchus laevis. RNAcentral describes it as "tRNA-Arg". The record is from RNAcentral. Lineage: Eukaryota; Metazoa; Acanthocephala; Palaeacanthocephala; Echinorhynchida; Pomphorhynchidae.